UACGGGGGGAGCAAGCGUUGUUCGGAUUUACUGGGCGUAAAGGGCGCGUAGGCGGCCAGCAAAAUUCAGUUGUGAAAUCUCCGAGCUUAACUCGGAAAGGUCAACUGAUACUGUGCGGCUAGAGUGCAGAAGGGGCAACUGGAAUUCUUGGUGUAGCGGUGAAAUGCGUAGAUAUCAAGAGGAACACCUGCGGCGAAGGCGGGUUGCUGGGCUGACACUGACGCUGAGGCGCGAAAGCUAGGGGAGCGAACGGG
RNAcentral lists this ribosomal RNA (254 nucleotides) under uncultured bacterium. RNAcentral's name for it is "partial 16S ribosomal RNA". It matches the Rfam family "Bacterial small subunit ribosomal RNA", at positions 524 to 776 of the family's 1533-position model. The record is from RNAcentral.